Molecule: ribosomal RNA, 431 nt
Filed under: uncultured bacterium
Lineage: Bacteria
Description: partial 16S ribosomal RNA
Rfam family: Bacterial small subunit ribosomal RNA
Source: RNAcentral
AACGAACGCUGGCGGCAGGCCUAACACAUGCGAGUCGAGCGCCCUUUCGGGGGAGCGGCGGACGGGUGAGUAACGCGUGGGAAUAUGCCCUUCUCUACGGAAUAGCCUCGGGAAACUGAGAGUAAUACCGUAUACGCCCUAUGGGGGAAAGAUUUAUCGGGGAAGGAUUAGCCCGCGUUGGAUUAGGUAGUUGGUGGGGUAAUGGCCUACCAAGCCGACGAUCCAUAGCUGGUUUGAGAGGAUGAUCAGCCACACUGGGACUGAGACACGGCCCAGACUCCUACGGGAGGCAGCAGUGGGGAAUCUUAGACAAUGGGGGCAACCCUGAUCUAGCCAUGCCGCGUGAGUGAUGAAGGCCUUAGGGUUGUAAAGCUCUUUCAGCUGGGAAGAUAAUGACGGUACCAGCAGAAGAAGCCCCGGCUAACUCCGUG